UGGGGAAUAUUGGACAAUGGGCGAAAGCCUGAUCCAGCAACGCCGCGUGAGGGAUGACUGCCUUCGGGUUGUAAACCUCUUUCAGUAGGGACGAAGCGCAAGUGACGGUACCUACAGAAGAAGCACCGGCCAACUACGUGCCAGCAGCCGCGGUAAUACGUAGGGUGCGAGCGUUGUCCGGAAUUAUUGGGCGUAAAGGGCUCGUAGGCGGUUUGUCGCGUCGGGAGUGAAAACUCAGGGCUUAACCCUGAGCCUGCUUCCGAUACGGGCAGACUAGAGGUAUGCAGGGGAGAACGGAAUUCCUGGUGUAGCGGUGAAAUGCGCAGAUAUCAGGAGGAACACCGGUGGCGAAGGCGGUUCUCUGGGCAUUACCUGACGCUGAGGAGCGAAAGUGUGGGGAGCGAACA
RNAcentral lists this ribosomal RNA (407 nucleotides) under uncultured Nocardioides sp. RNAcentral describes it as "bacterial SSU rRNA". It matches the Rfam family "Bacterial small subunit ribosomal RNA", at positions 355 to 774 of the family's 1533-position model. Lineage: Bacteria; Bacillati; Actinomycetota; Actinomycetes; Propionibacteriales; Nocardioidaceae. The record is from RNAcentral.